GUGGGGAAUAUUGGACAAUGGGGGGAACCCUGAUCCAGCCAUGCCGCGUGUGUGAAGAAGGCCUUUUGGUUGUAAAGCACUUUAAGUGGGGAGGAGGCUUACCUAGUUAAUACCUGGGCUAAGUGGACGUUACCCACAGAAUAAGCACCGGCUAACUCUGUGCCAGCAGCCGCGGUAAUACAGAGGGUGCGAGCGUUAAUCGGAUUUACUGGGCGUAAAGCGCGCGUAGGUGGUUAAUUAAGUCAAAUGUGAAAUCCCCGAGCUUAACUUGGGAAUUGCAUUCGAUACUGGUUGGCUAGAGUAUGGGAGAGGAUGGUAGAAUUCCAGGUGUAGCGGUGAAAUGCGUAGAGAUCUGGAGGAAUACCGAUGGCGAAGGCAGCCAUCUGGCCUAAUACUGACACUGAGGUGCGAAAGCAUGGGGAGCAAACAGGAUUAGAAACCCUAGUAGUCC
This 451-nucleotide ribosomal RNA is filed under the name uncultured bacterium. RNAcentral describes it as "partial 16S ribosomal RNA". It matches the Rfam family "Bacterial small subunit ribosomal RNA", at positions 354 to 796 of the family's 1533-position model. The record is from RNAcentral.